AACGAACGCUGGCGGCAUGCCUAACACAUGCAAGUCGAACGAGACCUUCGGGUCUAGUGGCGCACGGGUGCGUAACGCGUGGGAACCUGCCUUUAGGUUCGGAAUAACUCAGAGAAAUUUGAGCUAAUACCGGAUAAUGUCUUCGGACCAAAGAUUUAUCGCCUUUAGAUGGGCCCCGCGUUGGAUUAGCUAGUUGGUGGGUAAAGCCUACCAAGGCGACGAUCCAUAGCUGGUCUGAGAGGAUGAUCAGCCACACUGGGACUGAGACACGGCCCAGACUCCUACGGGAGGCAGCAGUGGGGAAUAUUGGACAAUGGGCGAAAGCCUGAUCCAGCAAUGCCGCGUGAGUGAUGAAGCCUUAGGUUGUAAGACUCUUUACCCGAGAUGAUAAUGACAGUAUC
This 401-nucleotide ribosomal RNA is filed under the name uncultured bacterium. Its description in RNAcentral is "bacterial SSU rRNA". It matches the Rfam family "Bacterial small subunit ribosomal RNA", at positions 29 to 479 of the family's 1533-position model. The record is from RNAcentral.